CGACGAGUUUGAUCAUGGCUCAGGAUGAACGCUGGCGGCGUGCCUAAUACAUGCAAGUCGAACGAGGUGCUUGAGUAGCAAUACAAGAGUAUCCUAGUGGCGAACGGGUGAGUAACGCGUGGAUGACCUGCCCCAAAGUGUGGGAUAACAGUCCGAAAGGAUUGCUAAUACCUCAUGUGGUUAUCGGAUUUAGAAACUGAUAACUAAAGCAGCAAUGCGCUUUGGGAGGGAUCUGCGUCCCAUCAGCUAGUUGGUGAGGUAACGGCUCACCAAGGCGACGACGGGUAGGGGACCUGAGAGGGUGGCCCCCCACAAUGGAACUGAAACACGGUCCAUACACCUACGGGUGGCAGCAGUAGGGAAUAUUGCUCAAUGGGCGAAAGCCUGAAGCAGCAACGCCGCGUGUGCGAUGAAGGCCUUCGGGUCGUAAAGCACUUUUCUACGAGAUGAGAAAGGACAGUAUCGUAGGAAUAAGUCUCGGCUAACUACGUG
RNAcentral lists this ribosomal RNA (492 nucleotides) under uncultured bacterium. RNAcentral describes it as "bacterial SSU rRNA". It matches the Rfam family "Bacterial small subunit ribosomal RNA", at positions 1 to 507 of the family's 1533-position model. The record is from RNAcentral.